AUUGAACGCUGGCGGCAGGCUUAACACAUGCAAGUCGAGCGCGCGGCGGACGGGGGAGUAAUGUAUGGGGACUGCACGAUAGAAGGGGAUACCUCCUGGAAACGGUAGCUAAUAUCGCACACAAUCGGAUAACCCAUAUGGGAUUAGCUAGUAGGUGAGGGAAUGGCUCACCCAGGCGACGAUCCCUAGCUGGUCUGAGAGGAGGAUCAGCCACACUGGGACUGAGACACGGCCCAGACUCCUACGGAGGCAGCAGUGGGGAAUAUUGCACAAUGGGCGCAAGCCUGAUGCAGCCAUGCCGCGUGUAUGAAGAAGGCCCUAGGGUUGUAAAGUACUUUCAGUCGGGAGGCGUUACCGACAGAAGAAGCACCGGCUAACUCCGUGCCAGCAGCCGCGGUAAUAC
RNAcentral lists this ribosomal RNA (403 nucleotides) under uncultured bacterium. RNAcentral's name for it is "partial 16S ribosomal RNA". It matches the Rfam family "Bacterial small subunit ribosomal RNA", at positions 30 to 526 of the family's 1533-position model. The record is from RNAcentral.